AAAAACCUAAAGCACAGGACUUGUUAUUAAUAUAUAAUAAUUAUACCACUGUGCGCAAAAAACGGCCACACAUACACAGAAACUGUUGCAGGCCGGUAAAUGGCACUACAUCUGGAAAAGUCAUUUUUACUGGAACCAAUGAAAAGGCAUAAACCACUUACUGCUGUUUGUGUCCGGGCCACGCGGCGUCUCCUUUGGGUAUAGGACAGGGUGGUCAGAUGUUGAGGUCACUGAGAAACUCUUUACGAACCCACACAAGCCCUCGAGUUCAGGAGCAGAGGGCAGCAAGGGGCCGUAAGGGGGCGGAGCCAGUCACCAUGGUCUCUACACUGGAUUGGUUCCAAAACCCCGUCUUUGGAUUGGCUGGCGUGAUGCAUUUUACACAACUAUAGAAGCCCAUUUCCGCACUAAUAUGUUCAACUCUAUAUAACCCAUUGCUGCAUAACCCAGGCAGAUUGCAGCCUCCUCGGCUCUCUCUCCAUCGGCCCUGACACGUCCUCAUUCAGCCAUUAUUCAUCCUGUUGCUGCUCCCCAUCAAUCCCCCGCCGGCACAAUGGCCCGUGACAGCAGCACCGACAGGCCCGUGACAGGUCUGUGCCACCCGGGAGGCCUGUCCCAGCCAGCCAGCCCACGACGCCGGAGAGGACAAACAGACGUGAACAUGCACAGCUCACCCCCCCCCCUCAUCCGCCCCUCACCCACCCACUUCCCAAACCUAGUUGGCGCCUGGCUGUUCAGCCCCACCCUCUUACCUGCCUGCAGGCCUGGAUUACAUCCUCCGCAUCGUACUGUACAAACACGGCCGAGGGGCUCUGACUCCGGCAUUGUCGGCCUCUCUGUCGGCAUGCCGCUUCGGUCUAGACUGCUAGACCUCGGCAGCUAAAUGGGGGGGGACGCGGGGGGGUUGCCAAGAAAUUAUCCCCAGGGGAUGAAGCUUGCUGACUUUGGAAAUCCUCUGACUUUUUUUCUGUAGUGCCACCAUGAGGACAUUAAAUGGAGUUUUUCAAUUGAAGUUCUCCGUAGGUUACAUCAUUGCAUCAAUGACUCUUUAAGUGGUCCCGGGAAACUGCAGGUUUUUGACCAGGUUCCUUUAAAGAUAAAAAGCCUUUCACAAUAUGACAUCCUUCAACAAUCUGUCGUCUUCAUUACGGCCUUUUUCUCUUGUGAUUUUGAAUCUCCAGUAGCUUUGUUUCACGGUUCAUACCAUGAGCCUUUAGUUUCUAACCAUUUUGCCAAACCACAAACCAACCAUAAAGUUGUCUUUUUUAAACUUUGUUUCAACCUUUUAAAAGUGUUUUUCCUUCGAC
Gasterosteus aculeatus aculeatus (three-spined stickleback) is the source of this 1307-nucleotide long non-coding RNA. The record is from Ensembl. Lineage: Eukaryota; Metazoa; Chordata; Actinopteri; Perciformes; Gasterosteidae.